CCUACGGGUGGCAGCAGUAAGGAAUAUUGGUCAAUGGACGAAAGUCUGAACCAGCCAUCCCGCGUGCAGGAUGAAAGCCCUAUGGGUUGUAAACUGCUUUUAGCAGAGAAGAAAAGCUUUCAUUAAUGAGAGUCUGACGGUAUCUGCAGAAUAAGCACCGGCUAACUCCGUGCCAGCAGCCGCGGUAAUACGGAGGGUGCGAGCGUUACCCGGAAUUAAGGGGUUUUAAGGGUAGGAUGACGGCAGUGGAGAAAUAUUGUCGCUUAACGAUAAAAUGGCCAAUGAUACUGGUACUCUUGAAUUGGGUUGAGGUUAGCGGAAUGUGACAUGUAGCGGUGAAAUGCAUAGAUAUGUCAUGGAACACCAAUUGCGAAGGCAGCUAACUGGGCCUUGAUUGACGCUGAGGCACGAAAGCGUGGGUAGCGAACAGGAUUAGAUACCCGGGUAGUC
Molecule: ribosomal RNA, 450 nt
Filed under: uncultured bacterium
Lineage: Bacteria
Description: partial 16S ribosomal RNA
Rfam family: Bacterial small subunit ribosomal RNA
Source: RNAcentral